Ornithodoros turicata is the source of this 909-nucleotide long non-coding RNA. RefSeq lists it as uncharacterized. Lineage: Eukaryota; Metazoa; Arthropoda; Arachnida; Ixodida; Argasidae. The record is from RefSeq and is a predicted model, not a curated record. The transcript is spliced from 3 exons.
CGGAAAGCAGACGUGCGAUCCCCGCGCUCGCUCAGUUUCUGGCUGGCUGUCACGGAGAGCAGUCGCAUCGGUCUGCGCUCCUACUGUGGGCGCAAGACAUGCUUAAUCCAGGCAGAGACACAAAGUGAAAAGGUUCAAUCUUGUGAAAGUCAAGUGUCCACUUGCGAAAGCUCUGAAACACGUCUGCUAAAAGCAGCGCGUCUGUGAGAAGAUGCCCUCCGCCUGUGAUGCGAGGCAGGAUGUAGUCCAGCAACCACCCCAACAACACAGAAACGUCCUGCGAUCGUCCCCAGGAUGUCAACCCCGGACGACGAUGACAUCCUCAGGAAGUUAUCAACUGGUCCUCCCAGUGUUACCUCCGUGUUAAAGUGGGACUCCCGGUCAUAUCACCUGCACAUCCUCAGGGUGUCAACCUGGAACACGCGCAGGACCUUAUGAGGACGACUUCACCUGCACCUCAUUUUUCUGCGUAUAAUUUAUACGAAACCAGACGCAGUCCUGAUAACUUCUCUUUUUCCAUACAUCUUGAUUAACUUCCGCAAUACAAUCUCGCUGUUUGUUUCUAGUACAAUUCAUAACGGACAACGAGCGCAGCGGUUUAAAGAGAAAUAUAAAAGACGCAAAAAAAAUACUGUCAGGGGCACGAAGUCCGAGAAACCCACUCCGAAAGGUACUAGAAUUCUCUUCCGAAGCCAAAACAGACACUGUUCAUUGCUUAUAACGCGAUCCUCCGUACAUUUGAGAGUCCUGCUCGCCUGUGACACAAAACGAAGGGUGUGCUAUCCAUGUUUCUUUCGAUUACGCAAAGAAAGAAUAAUUAAAGUGAGGAAUUCAUUGAAGUAUUAGGUCCAGAUCAAUGCAAAGUCUAUGUUUCUUACUCCUUUUGGUUUGAGACGUUCAGGUAGGAGC